This 584-nucleotide ribosomal RNA is filed under the name Clostridioides difficile. RNAcentral's name for it is "bacterial LSU rRNA". It matches the Rfam family "Bacterial large subunit ribosomal RNA", at positions 1278 to 1872 of the family's 2925-position model. The record is from RNAcentral. Lineage: Bacteria; Bacillati; Bacillota; Clostridia; Peptostreptococcales; Peptostreptococcaceae.
CAGUAUGGGAGUGAGAAUGUUGGCAUGAGUAGCGAGAUGUGGGUGAGAAUCCCACAGGCCGUAAACCCAAGGUUUCCAGGGGAAGGUUCGUCCGCCCUGGGUUAGUCGGGACCUAAGCUGAGGCCGACAGGCGUAGGUGAUGGACAACAGGUUGAUAUUCCUGUACUACCGAUAACCAUUUGAGAGAAGGGAUGACACAGUAGGAUAAGCUAAGCACACUGUUGGUUAUGUGUGCCCAAGCAUAGAGGCAGUCCAAGUCGGCAAAUCCGCUUUGAUACUGCUGGGGUGUGCUGGGGAGCGAAAUUUAGUAGCGAAGUAGCUGAUUUCACACUGUCAAGAAAAGUCUCUAUCGAGGUUAAAGGUACCCGUACCGCAAACCGACACAGGUGGGGGAGGAGAGUAUCCUAAGGCCAGCGAGAGAACUGUUGUUAAGGAACUCGGCAAAAUGACCCCGUAACUUAGGGAUAAGGGGUGCCACCAUCAGGUGGCCGCAGAGAAUAGGCCCAAGCGACUGUUUACCAAAAACAUAGGUUUCUGCUAAGUCGCAAGACGAUGUAUAGGAGCUGACGCCUGCCCGGUGCUGG